UCCUCAGCUGAGUGAGUCGGUUAGGAACUGGUAGUCGACAUCGUUCUACUGCCAGGACGUUGCUUGCCCGAAUGCCACGACAGGGUUGCCUCCUUUUAUCUUAGAUCGACCCGCUCCGCCUAAGCAGCUUGCGCUCACGAAGGCGGAGAAGAUCGACAUCCAGCCUCUGGUCGAUGCACUCGUAGAUGUCGUCAGUAGGGGAGUCACCGACAUAUAUUUGGUGGAGGUUUUCCUCGGUCGGCGCAUCCAACCACUGCAGGCUCGCGACCACGCCAUG
Molecule: long non-coding RNA, 277 nt
Filed under: Hordeum vulgare
Lineage: Eukaryota; Viridiplantae; Streptophyta; Magnoliopsida; Poales; Poaceae
Description: long non-coding RNA (HVUL_LNC012939)
Source: RNAcentral